AAUUCUCAACCUCUUCACUUUGUUUACCAAUUUGAAUUGGCUUGGAUUAUGGGAGUUGCGGGCUUCUAAGUAAGUCAGCUCUUCUUAAAUGCAUUAGCAGAACUUUUGGUUGACUAUCAUUGGUGUGAUAAUUAUCUACGCCACUUGAUAUGAAAUAUAUACAGUUCCGCUUCCUAACUGUCUAUUGACUUGGACAAUUUAUCUGACU
This 208-nucleotide unclassified non-coding RNA is filed under the name Infundibulicybe geotropa. Its description in RNAcentral is "partial internal transcribed spacer 2". Lineage: Eukaryota; Fungi; Basidiomycota; Agaricomycetes; Agaricales; Omphalinaceae. The record is from RNAcentral.